GAGGGCAAAGCGAGAAAGGAAAACUCGUUUGUAAAAUUGCUGCAUCAUUGCUGUCGUGUUUGUUGCCGUUGCUACGAGUGUGUUGCUGUUUCCUGAACUGGAUUAUUGAACUGGUAGUUUCCCAGAGCGGGGUCAAAAGUCGUCGCAUUGAUAGCCGUUCUGUAGGAAGGUUAGUAGCAUUCAAAUACGCUGCACGGAAGAAAGUUGUGGAUCAACUAACAGCCGAACAUUGUUUCUGUCCCCAAACAGUGCGCCGUAAAAGUUCAUCCAAAAAACCCGUCAGGAGAAUCAGCACUGAACCCGGAGGAAACACGCAGGAGGCAUCUACCGAUUAGAUCUGCCGAACAGUUUUAGAACGGAGAGCCGACAUCCUGUGCAAAACGGUUCUAGUUCACUGUAGGUGAUUGGGAGGUUUCACAGAGCAACCGAAGAAGCAAUCUUAACGGUACCCUGACCCCAAAUAGGGGUUUUUAUUGGGAGCUGAAAACCGACGCUGCCUGGAGUCAGUCUUUUUCCCGGAGCCGAAAGUUGUUCCGUCCGGAAACUGGUGCCGUAUCCUCCUGGAAGCUGAAGCUGGAUGCCACGUCAACUGCCAGUGGUGCUCAACUGGGUUGGUCAUCGGAUGACAACAUCGGUCGCUGUAAAGAGAAGGUGAAGAACAAAAAUAAGAACAAGUAAGUACUAGCGCUAGUCAGAAGAUAAAGAAGAAGCUUAAGUAAAGCAAGAAGAAAAUAAGAAGCAGGCAAGCAGGAAGAAGAAGCAGCAGUACAGAAGGAAGAAGAGAAGAGGCGGAAUGGAAGAAAAAGAGUAGGAGCGGAAUGGAA
Molecule: long non-coding RNA, 824 nt
Organism: Uranotaenia lowii
Lineage: Eukaryota; Metazoa; Arthropoda; Insecta; Diptera; Culicidae
Exons: 3
Source: RefSeq, a predicted model, not a curated record